Molecule: ribosomal RNA, 232 nt
Filed under: uncultured bacterium
Lineage: Bacteria
Description: partial 16S ribosomal RNA
Rfam family: Bacterial small subunit ribosomal RNA
Source: RNAcentral
CCGGCGAGCGGCGGACGGCUGAGUAACGCGUGGGAACGUGCCCCAAAGUGAGGAAUAACUGCCCGAAAGGGUAGCUAAUGCCGCAUAUGAUCUUCGGAUUAAAGUAUUUAUUACGCUUUGGGAGCGGCCCGCGUCCGAUUAGGUAGUUGGUGAGGUAAAGGCUCACCAAGCCCACGAUCGGUAGCUGGUCUGAGAGGGUGACCAGCCAGACUGGAACUGAGACACGGUCCAG